UUUUAGUUCAYUAUUUUCUAUUUUGAUUUUAUAAUUAUUUUAGAUUUUUUAUUAAGAUUAUUUAAUUAAUUUUWAAAUUUKYGUAAUAAUGAUAGAAUUAGUAUAUUUACUGUAUAUAAUUUUACCUMSYGAAYUUUUWAUAACAACUAGGCAAAAUUGAUUUCCGCCUGUUUAUCAAAAACAUGUCCUCUUGAAAAUACUUUGAGGUCUGGCCUGCUCACUGAGCGGAUUUUUAAAGAGCCGCGGUAUUUUGACCGUGCAAAGGUAGCAUAAUCAUUAGUCUCUUAAUUAGUGGCUGGAAUGAAUGGCUUGACGAGAAAUCAACUGUCUCUUAAUAAAUUUUUGAAUUUAACUUUUGAGUCAAAAGGCUUAAAUUUUUCUUUAGGACGAGAAGACCCUAUAGAGCUUAACAUUUUACUUUUAUAUAGUUUUUUGUUUGUCUUUCUAUAUUUAAUGAUGAUGUUUUGUCGGGGUGACAUGAAGGAUAAAUAAACUCUUCAUUAUUAUAUCAUUUAUUUAUGUUUGUUGUUUUGAUCCAUAAUUUAUGAUCAUAAGAUUAAGUUACCUUAGGGAUAACAGCGUAAUUGUUUUUGAGAGC
Molecule: ribosomal RNA, 598 nt
Filed under: Schistocerca lineata (birdwing grasshopper)
Lineage: Eukaryota; Metazoa; Arthropoda; Insecta; Orthoptera; Acrididae
Description: partial 16S ribosomal RNA
Rfam family: Archaeal large subunit ribosomal RNA (bases 159-322)
Source: RNAcentral